RNAcentral lists this ribosomal RNA (678 nucleotides) under Trichormus fertilissimus LCR18. RNAcentral's name for it is "bacterial SSU rRNA". It matches the Rfam family "Bacterial small subunit ribosomal RNA", at positions 68 to 745 of the family's 1533-position model. Lineage: Bacteria; Bacillati; Cyanobacteriota; Cyanophyceae; Nostocales; Nostocaceae. The record is from RNAcentral.
CUCCUUCNCCCCCCCCCUCCCCCCGAGGGGGGAUAAANACNUCAGUAGUCAUCGGACGGGUGAGUAACGCGUGAGAAUCUAGCUUCAGGUCGGGGACAACCACUGGAAACGGUGGCUAAUACCGGAUGUGCCGAAAGGUGAAAGAUUUAUUGCCUGAAGAUGAGCUCGCGUCUGAUUAGCUAGUUGGUGUGGUAAGAGCGCACCAAGGCGACGAUCAGUAGCUGGUCUGAGAGGAUGAUCAGCCACACUGGGACUGAGACACGGCCCAGACUCCUACGGGAGGCAGCAGUGGGGAAUUUUCCGCAAUGGGCGAAAGCCUGACGGAGCAAUACCGCGUGAGGGAGGAAGGCUCUUGGGUUGUAAACCUCUUUUCUCAGGGAAUAAAAAAAUGAAGGUACCUGAGGAAUAAGCAUCGGCUAACUCCGUGCCAGCAGCCGCGGUAAUACGGAGGAUGCAAGCGUUAUCCGGAAUGAUUGGGCGUAAAGCGUCCGCAGGUGGCACUGUAAGUCUGCUGUUAAAGAGCAAGGCUCAACCUGUAAAGGCAGUGGAAACUACAGACCUAGAUUACGUUCGGGGCAGAGGGAAUUCGUAAUGGAGCGUUGAAACCCCUCGAGAUCUGGGGGGGGAGUGCCACGCGGAAAUUGAUUUAUACCCCACUGUCUCUGGGUGGGGAUCUCC